This 382-nucleotide ribosomal RNA is filed under the name uncultured eukaryote. RNAcentral describes it as "SSU rRNA". It matches the Rfam family "Eukaryotic small subunit ribosomal RNA", at positions 587 to 972 of the family's 1831-position model. The record is from RNAcentral.
AGCUCCAAUAGCGUAUAUUAAAGUUGUUGCAGUUAAAAAGCUCGUAGUUGGAUUUCUGGUGGGAGCGUUGGGCCGGCCCUAAGGGUUUGUGCUCAAAUGUUUUCCGCCAUCCUUAGGUGGAACCUCUCUGGCAUUAAGUUGUCGGGGUUGUAAAACCUAUCGUUUACUGUGAAAAAAUUAGAGUGUUCAAAGCAGGCUUAUGCCGUUGAAUAUAUUAGCAUGGAAUAAUAAGAUAAGACUUCGGUACUAUUUUGUUGGUUUGCGUACCAAAGUAAUGCUUAAAAGGAACAGUUGGGGCUAUUCGUAUUGCAUUGUCAGAGGUGAAAUUCUUGGAUUUAUGCAAGACGAACUACUGCGAAAGCAUUUAGCAAGGAUGUUUUCA